Molecule: ribosomal RNA, 386 nt
Filed under: uncultured bacterium
Lineage: Bacteria
Description: bacterial SSU rRNA
Rfam family: Bacterial small subunit ribosomal RNA
Source: RNAcentral
AUUGAACGCUGGCGGCAUGCCUUACACAUGCAAGUCGAACGGCAGCACGGGAGCAAUCCUGGUGGCGAGUGGCGAACGGGUGAGUAAUAUAUCGGAACGUGCCCAGUCGUGGGGAUAACGUAGCGAAAGCUACGCUAAUACCGCAUACGAUCUAUGGAUGAAAGCGGGGGAUCGCAAGACCUCGCGCGAUUGGAGCGGCCGAUAUCAGAUUAGGUAGUUGGUGAGGUAAAGGCUCACCAAGCCGACGAUCUGUAGCUGGUCUGAGAGGACGACCAGCCACACUGGGACUGAGACACGGCCCAGACUCCUACGGAGGCAGCAGUGGGGAAUUUUGGGACAAUGGGCGCAAGCCUGAUCCAGCAAUGCCGCGUGCAGGAUGAAGGCCU